Molecule: ribosomal RNA, 432 nt
Filed under: uncultured bacterium
Lineage: Bacteria
Description: partial 16S ribosomal RNA
Rfam family: Bacterial small subunit ribosomal RNA
Source: RNAcentral
AACGAACGCUGGCGGCAGGCCUAACACAUGCCAGUCGAGCGCACCCUUCGGGGUGAGCGGCGGACGGGUGAGUAACGCGUGGGAACGUGCCCUUCUCUGCGGAAUAGCCUCGGGAAACUGAGAGUAAUACCGCAUACGCCCUUUGGGGGAAAGAUUUAUCGGAGAAGGAUCGGCCCGCGUUGGAUUAGGUAGUUGGUGGGGUAAUGGCCCACCAAGCCGACGAUCCAUAGCUGGUUUGAGAGGAUGAUCAGCCACACUGGGACUGAGACACGGCCCAGACUCCUACGGGAGGCAGCAGUGGGGAAUCUUAGACAAUGGGGGCAACCCUGAUCUAGCCAUGCCGCGUGAGUGAUGAAGGCCUUAGGGUUGUAAAGCUCUUUCAGCUGGGAAGAUAAUGACGGUACCAGCAGAAGAAGCCCCGGCUAACUCCGU